Molecule: ribosomal RNA, 429 nt
Filed under: Triticum aestivum (bread wheat)
Lineage: Eukaryota; Viridiplantae; Streptophyta; Magnoliopsida; Poales; Poaceae
Description: partial small subunit ribosomal RNA
Source: RNAcentral
AUGAUUUGGAAAGCUACGAUCCCCUUGAAAAUAAAGAUUUUUCUAUGGCAAUUGUUUCAAAAUGUUGUACCUACGCGCGAUAACAUGCGGCGUAGAAAUUGGCCUGGAAACCCUAUGUGUUCCUUCUGCACAAAUGUGGAAACUGCUAAUCACCUCUUUUUUACCUGUCCUCUCGCCCGUACGGUUUGGGGCAUACUGGGGUUAACAGCAGGAGCCUCUUGUGCUCCCGGAUCUAUUUGGCAAAGCUUAGCUUGGCUAUAUAAAUUCUUUCCAAAUGGAAAAAGAUUUUAUAUGAUGAUUGUUGCAGCCGUGUGCUGGGGGUGUGGUGUCUUCGUAACAAAACUACUUUUGACAAUUAUAAUGCUCGUACUCCUUUGGAGGCUGUCUUCACCGCCUGUUCUUUUAUGUUAUAUUGGGCAGGGUUGCUGA